ACAGGUGUCUCCAAAGGUACAUGUUGGGUUGGCGUAUUUCGAGAUUAGGUUUUGUCACUCCGAUUGUCGGAGAGGUAUCUCUGGGCCCUCUCGGUAAUGCAUAUCACUAUAAGCCUUGCAAGCAAUGUAGCUAAUGAGUUAGUUACAGAAUGAUGCAUUACGGAACGAGUAAAGAGACUUGCCGGUAACGAGAUUGAACUAGGUAUUGGAUAUCGACGAUCGAAUCUUGGGCAAGUAACAUACCGAUGACAAAGGGAACAACGUAUGUUGUUAUGCGGUUUGAUCGAUAAAGAUCUUCGUAGAAUAUGAAGGAGCCAAUAUGGGCAUCCAAGUUCCGCUAUUGGUUAUUGACCGAGAAUAGUUCUAGGUCAUGUCUACAUAGUUCUCGAACCCAUAGGAUCCGCACGCUUAACGUUACGAUGACAGUUUUAUUAUGAGUUUAUAAGUUUUGAUGUACCGAAGGAGUUCGGAGCCCCGGAUGAGAUCAGGGACAUGACGAGGAGUCUUGAAAUGGUCGAGACAUAAAGAUCGAUAUAUUGGACGACUAUAUUCGGAGUUCGGAAAGGUUCCGAGUGAUUCGGAUAUUUUUUGGAGUACUGGAGAGUUACGGGAAUUCGUAUUGGGCCUCAAUGGGCCAUACGGGAAAGGAGAGAAAGGGCCAAAAGGGUGGCCGCACCCCUCCCCUUGGACUAGUCCGAAUUGGACUAGGGAGGGGGGGCGCCCCCUUCCUUCCUUCUCCUUCUCUCUUCCCUUUCCUUCUCUCCUACUCCUACUACAUGGAAGGGUUCCUAGUUCUACUAGGAAAGGGGGAAUCCUACUCCCAGUGGGAGUAGGACUCCCCUAGGGCGCGCCAUAGAGAGGGACGGCCCUCCCCCUCCUCCACUCCUUUAUAUACGGGGGCAGGGGGCACCCCAUAGACACACAAGUUGAUCUACGGAUCGUUCCUUAGCCGUGUGCGGUGCCCCCCUCCACCAUAUUCCACCUCGGUCAUAUCGUCGCGGAGUUUAGGCGAAGCCCUGCACCGGUAGAACAUCAUCAUCGUCACCACGCCGUCGUGCUGACGGAACUCGUCCCCGACGCUUUGCUGGAUUGAAGUCCGGGGAACGUCAUCGAGCUGAACGUGUGCUGAACACGGAGGUGCCGUACGUUCGGUACUUGGAUCGGUCGGAUCGUGAAGACGUACGACUACAUCAACCGCGUUGUCAUAACGCUUCUGCUUUACGGUCUACGAGGGUACGUGGACAACACUCUCCCCUCUCGUUGCUAUGCCAUCACCAUGAUCUUGCGUGUGCGUAGGAAUUUUUUUGAAAUUACUACGUUCUCCAACAGUGGCAUCUGAGCCUAGGUUUUAUGCGUUGCUGUUAUAUGCACGAGUAGAACACAAGUGAUUUGUGGGCGAUACAAGUCAUACUGCUUACCAGCAUGUCAUACUUUGGUUCGGCGGUAAUGUUGGAUGAAGCGGCCCGGACCGACAUUACGCGUACGCUUACGCGAGACUGGUUCUACCGACGUGCUUUGCACACAGGUGGCUGGCGGGUGUCAGUUUCUCCAACUUUAGUUGAACCGAGUGUGGCUACGCCCGGUCCUUGCGAAGGUUAAAACAGCACUAACUUGACGAACUAUCGUUGUGGUUUUGAUGCGUAGGUAAGAACGGUUCUUGCUCAGCCCGUAGCAGCCACGUAAAAUUUGCAACAACAAAGUAGUGGACGUCUAACUUGUUUUUGCAGGGCAUGUUGUGAUGUGAUAUGGUCAAGACGUGAUAAGAUAUAAGUUGUUGUAUGAGAUGAUCAUGUUUUGUUGAAGUUAUCGGGAACUGGCAGAAGUCCUAUGGAUGUCUCUUUGUUGCAUAAGAUGCAAGUGCCAAAUAAUUGCUUUACUUUAUCGCUAUACGAUAGCAAUAGUUGCAAGAGCAAUAGUUGGUGAGACAACCAUGUGAUGACACAUUGAUAUAGAUCAAGAUGAUGAAGAUCAUGGUGUCGUGCCAGUGACGAUAGAGAUCAUGACAGUACUUUGGAGAUGGAGAUCAAAGGCGCAAGAUGAUCAUGGCCAUAUCAUGUCACAUAUUUUGAUUGCAUAUGAUGUUUAUCUAUUAUACAUCUUAUUCUUGCUUUGAUUGACGAUAGCAUUUUAAGAUGAUCUCUCACUAAUUAUCAAGAAGUGUUCUCCCUGAGUAUGCACCGUUGCCAAAGUUCAUCGUGCCCAGACACCACGUGAUGAUCGGGUGUGAUAAGCUCUACGUCCAUCUACAACGGGUGCAAGCCAGUUUUGCACACGCGGAAUACUCAGGUUAAACUUGACGAGCCUAGCAUAUGCAGAUAUGGCCUCGGAGCACGAAGACCGAAAGGUCGAGCGUGAAUCAUAUAGUAGAUAUGAUCAACAUAGUGAUGUUCACCAUUGAAAACUACUCCAUCUCACGUGAUGAUCGGUUAUGGUUUAGUUGAUUUGGAUCACGUGAUCACUUAGAUGACUAGAGAGAUGUCUGUCUAAGUGGGAGUUCUUAAGUAAUAUGAUUAAUUGAACUUAAACUUAUCAUGAACUUAGUCCUGGUAGUAUUUUGCAAAUUAUGUUGUAAGAUCAAUAGCUUGCGUUGUUGCUUUCAUAUGUUUAUUUUGAUAUGUUCCUAGAGAAAAUUGUGUUGAAAAAUGUUAGUAGCAAUGAUGCGGAUUGGAUCCGCGAUCUGAGGUUUAUCCCCAUUGCUGCACAGAAGAAUUAUGUCCUUAAUGCACCGCUAGGUGACAGACCUAUUGCAGGAGCAGAUGCAGACGUUAUGAACGUUUGGCUAGCAUAUGCAGAUAUGGCCUCAGAACACGGAGACCGAAAGGUCGAGCGUGAAUCAUAUAGUAGACAUGAUCAACAUAGUGAUGUUCACCAUUGAAAACUACUCCAUCUCACGUGAUGAUCGGUUAUGGUUUACUUGAUUUGGAUCACGUGAUCACUUAGAUGACUAGAGAGAUGUCUGUCUAAGUGGGAGUUCUUAAGUAAUAUGAUUAAUUGAACUUAAGUUUAUCAUGAACUUAGUCCUGGUAGUAUUUUACAAAUUAUGUUGUAGAUCAAUAGCUCGCUUUGUUGCUUUCAUAUGUUUAUUUUAAUAUGUUCCUAGAGAAAACUGUGUUGAAAAAUAUUAGUAGCAAUGAUGCAGAUUGGAUCCGUGAUCUGAGGAUUGUCCUCAUUGCUGCACAGAAGAAUUAUGUCCUUAAUGCACCGCUAAGUGAUGGACCUAUUGUAGAAGCAGAUGCAGACGUUAUGAACGUUUGGCUAGCUCAAAAUGAUGACUACUUGAUAGUUUUGUGCACCAUGCUUUAUGGCUUAGAAUCGGGACUUCAAAAAUGUUUUGAACGUCAUGGACCAUAUGAGAUGAUCCAGGAAUUGAAGUUAAUAUUUCAAGCAAAUACCCGAGUUGAGAGAUAUGAAGUCUCCAACAAGUUCUAUAGCUAAAAGAUGGAGGAGAAUCGCUCAACUAGUGAGCAUGUGGUCAGAUUGUCUGGGUACUUCAAUCGCUUGAAUCAAGUGGGAGUUAAUCUUCCAGAUAAGAUAAUGAUUGACAAAAUUCUCUAGUCACCAUCACUAAGUUACUGGAACUUCAUGAUGAACUAUAGUAUGCAAGGGAUGACGAAAACGAUUCUCGAGCUCUUCGUGAUGUUGAAAUCGACGAAGGUAGAAAUCAAGAAAUAGCAUCAAGUGUUGAUGAUUGACAAGACCACUAGUUUCAAGAAAAGGGCAAAGGGAAAGAAAGGGAAACUUCAAGUAGAAUGACAAACAAGUUGUCACUCCCAUGAAGAAGACCAAAGCUGGACCAAAGCCUGAAACUGAGUGUUUACACUGCAAAGGAAAUGGUCACUGGAAGCGGAAAUGCCCUGAAUAUUUGGUGGAGAAGAAGGAUGGCAAAGUGAACAAGGGUAUAUUUGAUAUACAGGUUAUUGAUGUGUGCUUUACUAGUGUUUACAGUAGCCCCUGAGUAUUUGAUACUUGUUCGGUUGCUAAGAUUAGUAACUCGAAACAGGAGUUACAGAAUAAACAAAGACUAGUUGAAGGGGAAGUGACGAUGAGUGUUGGAAGUAGUUCCAAGAUUGAUAUGAUCAUCAUCGCACACUCCCUAUACUUUCGGGAUUAGUGUUAAACCUAAAUAAAUGUUAUUUGGCGUUUGCGUUGAGCAUGAAUAUGAUUUUAUCAUGUUUAUUGCAAUACGGUUAUUCACUUAAAAUCAGAGAAUAAUUGUUGUUCUAUUUAAAUGAAUAAAACCUUCAAUGGUCAUACACCCAACGAAAAUAGUUUGUUGGCUCUCGAUCGUAGUGAUGCACAUAUUCAUAAUAUUGAUGCCAAAAGAUGCAAAGUUAAUAAUGAUAGUGCAACUUAUUUGUGGCACUGCCGUUUUGGUCAUAUCGGUGUAAAGCGCAUGAAGAAACUCCAUAAAGAUGGAUUUUCGGAAUCACUUGGUUAUGAAUCAUUUGAUGCUUGCGAACCGUGCCUUUUGUGCAAGAUGACUAAAACUCCGUUCUCCGGAACAAUGGAACAAGCUACUGACUUAUUGGAAAUAAUACAUACCGAUGUAUGCGAUCCAAUGAGUGUUGAUGCUCGUGGCAAGUAUCGUUAUUUUCUGACCUUCACAAGAUGAUUUGAGCAGAUAUGGGUAUAUCUACUUGAUGAACCAUAAGUCUGAAAUAGUUGAAAGGUUCAAAGAAUUUCAGAGUGAAGUGGAAAAAUCAUCGUAACAAGAAAAUAAAGUUUCUGCGAUCUGAUCGCGGAGACGAAUAUUUGAGUUACGAGUUUGGUCUUCAAUUAAAACAAUGUGGAAUAGUUUCACAGCUCACGCCACCUGGAACACCACAACGUUAUGGUGUGUCCAAACAUCGUAACCGCACUUUAUUGGAUAUAGUGCGAUCUAUGAUGUCUCUUACCGAUUUACCAUUAUUGUGUUUGGGUUAUGCAUUAGAGACAGCUGCAUUCACGUUAAAAGGGCACCAUCUAAAUCCGUUGAGAUGACACCAUAUGAACUGUGGUUUAGCAAGAAACCCAAGUUGUCGUUUCUUAAAGUUUGGGGCUGCGAUGCUUAUGUGAAAAAGUUUCAUCCUGAUAAGCUCGAACCCAAAUCGGAGAAGUGCGUCUUCAUAGAAUACCCAAAGGAAAUUGUUGGGUACACCUUCUAUCACAGAUCCGAAGGCAAGAUAUUCGUUGUUAAAAAUGGAUCCUUUCUAGAGAAGGAGUUUCUCUCGAAAGAAGUGAGUGGGAGAAAAGUAGAACUUGAUGAGGUAACUGUACCUUCUCCCAAAUUGGAAAAUUGUUCAUCACUGAAAUCAGUUCCAGUGAUUUCUACACCAAUUAGUGAGGAAGCUGAUGAUGAUGAUCAUGAAACUUCAGAUCAAGUUACUAGAGAACCUCGUAGGUCUUCCAGAGUACGGUCCGCACCAGAGUGGUACGGUAAUCCUGUUCUGGAAGUCAUGUUACUAGACCAUGAUGAACCUACGAACUAUGAGGAAGCGAUGAUGAGCCCAGAUUCCGCAAAAUGGCUUAAGGCCAUGAAAUCUGAGAUGGGAUCCAUGUAUGAGAACAAAGUGUGGACUUUGGUGGAGUUGCCCGAUGAUCGGCAAGCCAUAUUGUAUAAAUGGAUCUUCAAGAGGAAGACGGACGUUGAUAGUAGUGUUACUAUCUACAAAGCUCGACUUGUCGCAAAAAGGUUUUUGACAAGUUCAAGGUGUUGACUACAAUGAGAUUUUCUCAACUGUAGCGAUGCUUAAGUCUGUCCGAAUCAUGUUAGCAAUUGCCACAAUUUAUGAAAUCUGGCAAAUGGAUGUCAAAACUGCAUUCCUUAAUGAUUUUCUCAAAGAAGAGUUGUAUAUGAUGCAACCAGAAGAUUUUGUCAAUCCUAAAGGUACUAACAAAAUGUGCAUGCUCCAGCGAUCCAUCUAUGGACUGGUGCAAGCAUCUCGGAGUUGGAAUACACGCUUUGAUGAGUUGAUCAAAGCAUAUAGUUUUGUAUAGACUUACGGUGAAGCCUGUAUUUACAAGAAAGUGAGUGGGAGCACUACAGCAUUUCUGAUAAGUAUAUGUGAAUGACAUAUUGUUGAUCGGAAAUAAUGUAGAAUUAUUCUGCAAAGCAUAAAGGAGUGUUUGAAAGGAGUUCUUUAAAAUAAAGACCUCAGUAAAGCUACUUACAUAUUGAGCAUCAAGAUCUAUUGAGAUAGAUCAAGACGCUUGAUAAGAUUUUCAAUGAGUACAUACCUUGACAAGAUUUUGAAGUAGUUCAAAAUGGAACAGUCCAAGAAGGAGUUCUUGCCUGUGUUGCAAGGUCUGAAGUUGAGUAAGACUCAAGACCCGACCAUAGCAGAAAAUAGAAAGAGAAUGAAAAAUCAUUCCCUAUGCCUCAGUCAUAGGUUUUAUAAAGUAUGCUAUGCUGUGAACCAGACCAAUUGUAUACUCUGCCCUGGUUUGGCAAGGGAGUACAAUAAUGAUCUAGGAGUAGAUCACUGGACAUUGGUCAAAAUUAUCCUUAGUGGAAUAAGGAUAUGUUUCUCAAUUAUGGAGGUGACAAAAGGUUCGUCGUAAAAGGUUACGUCGAUACAAGUUUUGGCACUGAUCCAGAUGACUCUAAGUCUUUAAUAUGGAUACAUAUUGAAAGUGGGAGCAAUUAGCUAGAGUAGCUCCGUGUUGAGUAUUGUAGACAUAGAAUAUUUGCAAAAUACAUAUGGCUCUGAAUGUGACAGACCCGUUGACUAAACUUCUCUCACGAGCAAAACAUGAUCAUACCUUUGUACUCUUUGGGUGUUAAUCACAUAGUGAUGUGAACUAGAUUAUUGACUCUAGUAAACCCUUUGGGUGUUGGUCACAUGACGAUGUGAACUAUGGGUGUUAAUCAUAUACAGAUAUGAUUAUUGGUGUUAAGUCACAUGGCGAUGUGAACUAGAUUAUUGACUCUAGUGCAAGUGGGAGACUGAAGGAAAUAUGCCCUAGAGGCAAUAAUAAAGUUAUUAUUUAUUUCCUUAUUUCAUGAUAAAUUUUUAUUAUUCAUGCUAGAAUUGUAUUAACCGGAAAAAUAAUACAUGUGUGAAUACAUAGACAAACAUAGUUUCACUAGUAUGCCUCUACUUGACUAGCUCGUGAAUCAAAGAUGGUUAAGUUUCCUAGCCAUAGACAUGAGUUCUCAUUUGAUUAACGGGAUCACAUCAUUAGGAAAAUGAUGUGAUUGACUUGACCCAUUCCGUUAGCUUAGCACUUGAUCGUUUAGUAUGUUGCUAUUGCUUUCUUCAUGACUUAUACAUGUUCCUGUAACUAUGAGAUUAUGCAACUCCCGUUUACCGGAGGAACACUUUGGGUGCUACCAAACGUCACAACGUAACUGGGUGAUUAUAAAGGAGUACUACAGGUGUCUCCAAAGGUACAUGUUGGGUUGGCGUAUUUCGAGAUUAGGUUUUGUCACUCCGAUUGUCGGAGAGGUAUCUCUGGGCCCUCUCGGUAAUGCACAUCACUAUAAGCUUUGCAAGCAAUGUAGCUAAUGAGUUAGUUACGGAAUGAUGCAUUACGGAACGAGUAAAGAGACUUGCCGGUAACGAGAUUGAACUAGGUAUUGGAUACCGACGAUCGAAUCUCGGGCAAGUAACAUACCGAUGACAAAGGGAACAACGUAUGUUGUUAUGCGGUUUGACCAAUAAAGAUCUUUGUAGAAUAUG
RNAcentral lists this long non-coding RNA (7661 nucleotides) under Triticum aestivum (bread wheat). RNAcentral describes it as "long non-coding RNA (TAES_LNC003556)". The record is from RNAcentral. Lineage: Eukaryota; Viridiplantae; Streptophyta; Magnoliopsida; Poales; Poaceae.